RNAcentral lists this unclassified non-coding RNA (330 nucleotides) under soil metagenome. RNAcentral's name for it is "partial contains 5.8S ribosomal RNA, internal transcribed spacer 2, and large subunit ribosomal RNA". The stretch from base 1 to 120 matches the Rfam family "5.8S ribosomal RNA", at positions 35 to 154 of the family's 154-position model. The record is from RNAcentral.
GAUGAAGAACGCAGCGAAAUGCGAUAAGUAAUGUGAAUUGCAGAAUUCAGUGAAUCAUCGAAUCUUUGAACGCACAUUGCGCCCCCUGGUAUUCCGGGGGGCAUGCCUGUUCGAGCGUCAUUUCACCACUCAAGCCUCGCUUGGUAUUGGGCAUCGCGGUCCGCCGCGCGCCUCAAAUCGACCGGCUGGGUCUUCUGUCCCCUAAGCGUUGUGGAAACUAUUCGCUAAAGGGUGUUCGGGAGGCUACGCCGUAAAACAACCCCAUUUCUAAGGUUGACCUCGGAUCAGGUAGGGAUACCCGCUGAACUUAAGCAUACAAUAAGCGGAGGA